Molecule: long non-coding RNA, 1487 nt
Filed under: Pogona vitticeps (central bearded dragon)
Lineage: Eukaryota; Metazoa; Chordata; Lepidosauria; Squamata; Agamidae
Description: lncRNA (ENSPVIG00000006401.1)
Source: RNAcentral
AAAGGAGGGAAGGGACGCAUGCUGAGGGGUGGAGGGGCUCUGAAACCUGCUCUCGGCCAAGAGGACAGCUGCUGACAUGGCUGAGGGAAAACUUUAAAAACCUAAACGGAGUGAUUGCUGGCGAGUGACUAAUGCUCAGAACAAUGUCCAGUGCCUAAACUCUUGGAAGAAAGAAGAGAGAACCGGGGGGGGGGGGACCUGACCUUGAAGCAUCUCCUUGGCUUCGGUCCAGGAUGUUCAGAUGCCAAAAGUGCUCAGAGUCCCUUCUGGCUGCAAUUGAGCUCCUUGUCUUUGGCAAAUCACAUCUGAAUUUCUGGAACAUUACAUGUUCACAGUUGCAAAGCUAACAGUAAUUAGAAAAAGCUAUGAGACCAGGAUGAGGAAAGGAGCGGGGGCAGGGCUAAUGAAUCACACGUGGACGUGGCAUCGCUCAGCUGGAAGGAAAUCAAAGCCUGCAUAUUUCUGAAGGUAAGACUGCGAAUUCCUGCUGCUCUUGUAUGUGGGGCUGCAUUGUUCCAGUCCAUGAAAGGACAUCACCUGUUGAGAAGGAGCCACUUCCUUUCCUGUUCAGGCCACCUCAAAAGGCAUGGGGGAAGCAGGGCAGCCAGCCGGACGGACGGACAGGGGGCAUCGGCCGCCUGCCCUGCACCAGGAGAGAGCUUGGCUUGGACUUCCAGCGGCCAAGGGCUCACCGAGCCAGGAGGCAACUAAGUGCAUUUGGCUUCUCAUGAGCCUUAUCCAAAAAGUGGCCUUUGGAAUUUCGUAGUAGAGGAAGAAAGGAAACGGAAUCCUGCCAAGGGACUCCACGUGACUGGAACGCUGAGGGCAAAGAAGCAACAGCCAAGCGGAAGCAAGCGGAUGCAAGCGGCUCCUGCCGUAACUUCCAGGGCCUGGGGAGCCAAAGCAGGGAACAGUGAGGCAAUUACUCAUCCAUCUUGGAAAAGAAGAUGAUGUGCAGAUAUUUGCCAUUGCAGUGAGCCUAUUCAUACAGAUGCAAAGGAGAAAGCGUGCUUAGGGAAUGCCGAUGACUCUCACUCCAGUGGAAAAAGGGCCUCUCUCAGAGAGGGCCUGUGACCAACCUAGGGGCACCCGGUGAGUAGGGGGACUGCACUUGGGUCUGACAAAGGCUGUCUGGCUCCAUCAGACAGAAGGAGGGCAAAGAAGGCUAGGAGAGGCAGAGCUAAAAAGACCCCCAAGCGAACAGGAACAGGCGUUCUCUCAAGCAAGACUCUGGAAGAAGCAGCUGAUGGAAGAACAAUGGCCGGAAGCAGCAGGCGUUGGCCUUUUCCAGAAGCUGGAGAUGGGAUGGCUGGUUUUGAUCCAGAACACAUUUCAGCAGGUUCUCACUCGUCCGUCCCUGCAAGCUUUCGAUUGUGCGACUCUCACGAAACCAACGUUUCCCAAGAGUUUUUCCAGCACUUGUUGAAUUUCCGACUGAUUUGGAAGUUUGCCUCCUUUGGAUGUGGGUUAUGAUCUUCUAAAAAAUU